RNAcentral lists this transfer RNA (75 nucleotides) under Podospora anserina S mat+. Its description in RNAcentral is "tRNA-Glu (TTC) (tRNA-Glu-TTC-5-1)". The record is from RNAcentral. Lineage: Eukaryota; Fungi; Ascomycota; Sordariomycetes; Sordariales; Podosporaceae.
GGCGUGCGUAGUAUAGCGGUAUUACAUUCUGCUCUUCGAGCGAAGGACUUAGGUUCGAUUCCUAACCACUCACCA